This is a non-coding RNA of Podarcis lilfordi (Lilford's wall lizard), 78 nucleotides long. The record is from the annotation of a GenBank genome assembly. Lineage: Eukaryota; Metazoa; Chordata; Lepidosauria; Squamata; Lacertidae.
UCCUGAGAUAAAAUAGCUAAAUUGGCAGAGCACGAGACUCUAAUCUCAGGGUCGUGGGUUUGAGCCCCACGUUGGGCA